This 580-nucleotide long non-coding RNA is filed under the name Sinocyclocheilus anshuiensis. RNAcentral describes it as "lncRNA (ENSSANG00000000319.1)". Lineage: Eukaryota; Metazoa; Chordata; Actinopteri; Cypriniformes; Cyprinidae. The record is from RNAcentral.
CCAUUUUUCCAGCAGUUGCCUCAAGCACUUACCAACCAGCAGUCAAGUCCUGUUUCUUCAUUCCCAGUGGAUGUACUGAACCCAAACUCCACCCCCACCAUAGUGACCGACAGCAAUGGCAACCAGUUCCUGCUAACACUGUCGAAUCAAAACACAGAGGCACCUGCCAGAAGCCGCCGCGCCCAGAGCAAAAGACUGCAGUCUGCACCCACCAUGUUACACAACCAAUCAGUGACUAAAGUGCUUAACAGUAACAACCAAUCUGAACAGCCCAUACAAACUGUCAUUUUGAAACAGCCAAUCAAAAAGGCACUAAAGCCAGACCUAAAUGUGACGACCAAUUACAAAUCAUCAAGCUGUACAUCCAUCUCAUCACCAGCCAAUAUCCAACAAUUCUUCUCUCCAGUGGAAUCCAUGAACGACACCGAGCCCAUCCCCUCAUCUCCCAACAACAACAACAACGAGAAUGGCUGUCACCAGCAGGUUGACGACCUGUUUGACAUCCUAAUUCAGCGUGGAGGUGAUUUUUGAUGAUUUGAUUUAAUAUUUAUUGUCAUUCAAAGUAAUUUAGAUGAGAGAA